RNAcentral lists this small nuclear RNA (154 nucleotides) under Erinaceus europaeus (western European hedgehog). Its description in RNAcentral is "U1 spliceosomal RNA (ENSEEUG00000016900.1)". It matches the Rfam family "U1 spliceosomal RNA". From Rfam's summary of the family: U1 is a small nuclear RNA (snRNA) component of the spliceosome (involved in pre-mRNA splicing). Its 5' end forms complementary base pairs with the 5' splice junction, thus defining the 5' donor site of an intron. Lineage: Eukaryota; Metazoa; Chordata; Mammalia; Eulipotyphla; Erinaceidae. The record is from RNAcentral.
AUACUUACCUGGCAGGGGAGGUACCAUGAUCACGAAGGUGGUUUUCCCAGGGCGAGGCUUAUCCAUUGCACUCCAGAUGUGCUGACCCCUGCGAUUUCCCCAAAUGUGGGAAACUCGACUGCAUAAUUUGUGGUAGUGGGGGACUGCGUUCNNN